Molecule: ribosomal RNA, 253 nt
Filed under: uncultured bacterium
Lineage: Bacteria
Description: partial 16S ribosomal RNA
Rfam family: Bacterial small subunit ribosomal RNA
Source: RNAcentral
UACAGAGGUCUCAAGCGUUGUUCGGAUUCAUUGGGCGUAAAGGGUGCGUAGGCGGCGCCGUAAGUCAGGUGUGAAAUUUCGGAGCUUAACUCCGAAACUGCAUUUGAUACUACGGUGCUUGAGGACUGGAGAGGAGACUGGAAUUUACGGUGUAGCAGUGAAAUGCGUAGAGAUCGUAAGGAAGACCAGUGGCGAAGGCGGGUCUCUGGACAGUUCCUGACACUGAGGCACGAAGGCCAGGGGAGCAAACGGG